Molecule: ribosomal RNA, 253 nt
Filed under: uncultured bacterium
Lineage: Bacteria
Description: partial 16S ribosomal RNA
Rfam family: Bacterial small subunit ribosomal RNA
Source: RNAcentral
UACAGAGGGUGCGAGCGUUAAUCGGAAUUACUGGGCGUAAAGCGUGCGUAGGCGGUUCGCUGUGUCCGAUGUGAAAGCCCCGGGCUUAACCUGGGAAUGGCAUUGGAAACUGGCGGGCUUGAGUGUGGCAGAGGGGGGUGGAAUUCCGCGUGUAGCAGUGAAAUGCGUAGAGAUGCGGAGGAACACCGAUGGCGAAGGCAGCCCCCUGGGUUAACACUGACGCUCAGGCACGAAAGCGUGGGGAGCAAACAGG